CUACGGGGGGCUGCAGUGAGGAAUAUUGCACAAUGGGGGGAACCCUGAUGCAGCAACGCCGCGUGGAGGAUGACGCAUUUCGGUGUGUAAACUCCUUUUAUAUGUCAAGAAAAUGACGGUAGCAUAUGAAUAAGCACCGGCUAACUCCGUGCCAGCAGCCGCGGUAAUACGGAGGGUGCAAGCGUUACUCGGAAUCACUGGACGUAAAGGACGCGUAGGCGGGUUGGAAAGUCAGGUGUGAAAUCCUACAGCUUAACUGUAGAACUGCACUUGAAACUUCUAAGCUAGAGUAUGGGAGGGGGAGAUGGAAUUAGUGGUGUAGGGGUAAUAUCCGUAGAUAUCACUAGGAAUACCUAAAGCGAAGGCGAUCUCCUGGAACAUUACUGACGCUAAGGCGUGAAAGCGUGGGGAGCAAACAGGAUUAGAUACCCGUGUAGUC
RNAcentral lists this ribosomal RNA (439 nucleotides) under uncultured bacterium. Its description in RNAcentral is "partial 16S ribosomal RNA". It matches the Rfam family "Bacterial small subunit ribosomal RNA", at positions 339 to 795 of the family's 1533-position model. The record is from RNAcentral.